GACGAACGCUGGCGGCGUGCUUACCUCGUGCAAGUCGAACGAGAAUCUGUGGAAAGAGGAUUCGUCCAAUUGAAGCAAAGGACAGUGGCGGACGGGUGAGUAACGCGUGAGGAACCUGCCUUUCAGAGGGGGACAACAGUUGGAAACGACUGCUAAUACCGCAUGACACAUAGGUGUCGCAUGGCACUUAUGUCAAAGAUUUAUCGCUGAAAGAUGGCCUCGCGUCUGAUUAGCUAGUUGGUGAGGUAACGGCCCACCAAGGCGACAAUCAGUAGCCGGACUGAGAGGUUGAACGGCCACUUUGGGACUGAGAUACGGCCCAAACUCCUACGGGAGGCAGCAGUGGGGAAUAUUGGGCAAUGGGCGCAAGCCUGACCCAGCAACGCCGCGUGAAGGAAGAAGGCUUUCGGGUUGUAGACUUCUUUUGUCAGGGACGAGUAGAAGACGGUACCUGACGAAUAAGCCACGGCUAACUACGUG
RNAcentral lists this ribosomal RNA (480 nucleotides) under uncultured bacterium. RNAcentral's name for it is "bacterial SSU rRNA". It matches the Rfam family "Bacterial small subunit ribosomal RNA", at positions 28 to 507 of the family's 1533-position model. The record is from RNAcentral.